This 254-nucleotide ribosomal RNA is filed under the name uncultured bacterium. RNAcentral describes it as "partial 16S ribosomal RNA". It matches the Rfam family "Bacterial small subunit ribosomal RNA", at positions 524 to 776 of the family's 1533-position model. The record is from RNAcentral.
UACGUAGGCAGCGAGCGUUGUUCGGAGUUACUGGGCGUAAAGGGUGUGUAGGCGGUUGUUUAAGUUUGGUGUGAAAUCUCCCGGCUCAACUGGGAGGGUGCGCCGAAUACUGAAUGACUUGGAGUGCGGGAGAGGUGAGUGGAAUUCCUGGUGUAGCGGUGAAAUGCGUAGAUAUCAGGAGGAACACCGGUGGCGAAGGCGGCUAUCUGGACAGAAACUGACGCUGAGGCGCGAAAGCUAGGGGAGCAAACAGG